CAGAAACUUGAAGUUGUGUGUGGAGGUGCAUGGGGAGAUUGUUGGCAGUGAGCUUUUGGGGAUGACUAAUCUGGAGGAGGUGAUCAUUGUGGCGGGGUUCCUUUGCAGAAAGGCCAUCAGAAAAGAGGCGGAUGACGAAAAUGGCAGUUGAGGUGAUUGGGGAAGUUAAAAAGACGUUAAAAGAAAGAGGCGGGGUUCCUUUGCAGAAAGGCCAUCAGAAAAGAGGCGGAUGACGAAAAUGGCAGUUGAGGUGAUUGGGGAAGUUAAAAAGACGUUAAAAGAAAGAAUGUCACCACAGAAGAAGGUGGAAACCAGUUGUACCAAAAAGUGGGUUCAGUAAAAUAAAUUUUGAAUACAACUAUUAAUACAUUCUCAAACUUUGAAUACAACCAAUCUCUAUGGUCUAAGAACAAAUAUGAUAAUGAGAUUUAGAUAAAAGAAGAAGAAAUAUGAUUGUGGUGUAAUCACAAAGUUUGAGUGAGGGAACAAUUUUCAACGGUAAACAGUAUUUUCCCAGAGUCACAUUAAGGACUAAAGUUAACAUAUUAUACCCAAAAUGCAAUUAACAUUGAGGGUUGAAAAUGUGUGCAAAUCUUUUGAUGUAAUUUGAUCCCUCUUUUGAUUAUUAUGAAAAUUUAAUAGUUUUAACUUCACUUUUAUUCAAG
This 665-nucleotide long non-coding RNA is filed under the name Lathyrus oleraceus (garden pea). Its description in RNAcentral is "Pisum sativum (pea) long non-coding RNA (PSAT_LNC032104)". Lineage: Eukaryota; Viridiplantae; Streptophyta; Magnoliopsida; Fabales; Fabaceae. The record is from RNAcentral.